RNAcentral lists this ribosomal RNA (468 nucleotides) under uncultured bacterium. Its description in RNAcentral is "partial 16S ribosomal RNA". It matches the Rfam family "Bacterial small subunit ribosomal RNA", at positions 28 to 507 of the family's 1533-position model. The record is from RNAcentral.
GACGAACGCUGGCGGCGUGCUUAACACAUGCAAGUCGAACGGAAAGGCCCUGCUUUUGUGGGGUGCUCGAGUGGCGAACGCGUGAGUAACACGUGAGUAACCUGCCCUUGACUUUGGGAUAACUUCACGAAACUGGGGCUAAUAUCGGAUAGGAUCUCCUGCUGCAUGGUGGGGGUUGGAUAGUUUCGGCGGUUGGGGAUGGACUCGCGGCUUAUCAGCUUGUUGGUGGGGUAGUGGCUUACCAAGGCUUUGACGGGUAGCCGGCCUGAGAGGGUGACCGGGCACAUUGGGACUGAGAUACGGCCCAGACUCCUACGGGAGGCAGCAGUGGGGAAUAUUGCACAAUGGGCGGAAGCCUGAUGAAGAAACGCCGCGUGCGGGAUGACGGCCUUCGGGUUGUAAACCGCUUUCGCCUGUGACGAAGCGUGAGUGACGGUAAUGGGUAAAGAAGCACCGGCUAACUACGUG